CUUAAAGAAAUGUGCCUUUGGGAAUUUAGACACAGUUGGUGCAUGGCUGUCGUCAGCUCGUGUCGUGAGAUGUAUGGUUAAGUCCUUCAACGAGCGCAACCCUCGUUUUUAGUUAUUUUCUAGAAAGACUGCCGACUAUAAGUUGGAGGAAGGUGGGGACGACGUCAAGUCAUCAUGCCAUUUAUACCCUGGGCUACACACGUGCUACAGUGGCUUAGACAAUGAGUGCAAGUUCGCAAGGACAAGCUAAAUCUCUUAAACUAUGCCUUAGUUCGAAUGGUAGUCUGAAACUCGACUAUCUGAAGCCGGAAUUGAUAGUAAUCGCUAGUCAGCUAUAUAGCGGUGAAUACGUUCUCAGGUCUU
This 363-nucleotide ribosomal RNA is filed under the name uncultured cyanobacterium. RNAcentral describes it as "bacterial SSU rRNA". It matches the Rfam family "Bacterial small subunit ribosomal RNA", at positions 1000 to 1382 of the family's 1533-position model. The record is from RNAcentral. Lineage: Bacteria; Bacillati; Cyanobacteriota.